This 377-nucleotide unclassified non-coding RNA is filed under the name uncultured Actinomycetes bacterium. RNAcentral describes it as "uncultured actinobacterium contains 16S-23S intergenic spacer region". The record is from RNAcentral. Lineage: Bacteria; Bacillati; Actinomycetota; Actinomycetes.
UCCGAGUUGACCCCGGCAGUCUUCUACGAGUCCCCGGCAUUACCCGCUGGCAACAUGGAACAGGGGUUGCGCUCGUUGCGCCACUUAAGGCAACACCUCACGGCACGAGCUGACGACAGCCAUGCAGCACCUGUGCGGGCCCCCGAAAGGGCACCGGCUUUCACCAGCUUUACCCCGCAUGUCAAGCCCUGGUAAGGUUCUUCGCGUUGCGUCGAAUUAAGCCACAUGCUCCGCCGCUUGUGCGGGCCCCCGUCAAUUCCCUUGAGUUUUAGCCUUGCGGCCGUACUCCCCAGGCGGGGUGCUUAAUGCGUUAGCUUCGGCACGGACGGAGUCGACACCGCCCACACCUAGCAUCCAUCGUUUACGGCGUGGACUAC